CUCCAAAUGUGUCCCUUUCUUCUUGCUACAGCAGAAUGUACCAAGAGCAGCCAUGGUUAGGGUUUGGCCAAGCUUCCAACUUUAAUAAUGUCAUUCAUUCGCUGUUGCAGUUUCCGACUUAGAUCAUUGACUGAUCUUUCAAGAGUUUUUGCUCCUUUUUUUUCUUCUUCAAGCUUAUCCUCGAGCAGGAUAAGUUGCUGGCUAUCCUCCCUCAUUUUCUUGAUUUCAUUCAGAACCGCUUCUUGAUAUGAUUUGAGCUCAUAUUUGAGCUUUGAUUUACCUGAUCAAUAGUAAUAGCAUGUCAAUCACUUGAAGAGAAUACGAACCGGAAGCAAGUGUAAAUCUCAUACACGUUAGUUUGAGAUUAAAUCAGUUAAAAUGAUCCAGGGCAUUUACUUAGAACCCUCAACAGUAUGAACGAAAAAGAGCACCUUGGCAAUGCUGGUUGAAGCAAUCCAGGUCCUCUUUCACUGCCAUGAAACCAUAAAGUUGGCGCUCUCCUCCUGGCAAGACUUCGUUUGUACAAGAAUUCCAAGCGGAUCUAUCCAAUCGUUGGUCCAAAAAAUUCUGAUGCAGUCGUUCGGCUUCUAAAUAACCUACCGCAGAGCUCUCAAAGAUUAACACGCUCAAACCACGGUGACCUUGAGGACCAUAGGAAUGUUGAGCCUUUAAAGCAGGAAACGAGCUGAAGUGUUCAAGAAGCUCUUGACUUCCCAUGCCAACAAACUGAAAGAAGUUGUAAAUUGCUUGCACAUUAGAUAAUAUAAUGUAUAUUACAAUUUUCAAUCCAAUCAGUGCUAGAAACCAGCAUCAUUGGUUCAAUUAUUAAAAACCAAAA
Long non-coding RNA from Gossypium arboreum, 838 nucleotides. RefSeq lists it as uncharacterized. The record is from RefSeq and is a predicted model, not a curated record. The transcript has 2 exons. NCBI's taxonomy places the organism in Eukaryota, Viridiplantae, Streptophyta, Magnoliopsida, Malvales, Malvaceae.